RNAcentral lists this ribosomal RNA (1107 nucleotides) under Triticum aestivum (bread wheat). Its description in RNAcentral is "partial small subunit ribosomal RNA". Lineage: Eukaryota; Viridiplantae; Streptophyta; Magnoliopsida; Poales; Poaceae. The record is from RNAcentral.
AUGGCCACGCCCCAGAACACACCGAUGUUGACAGCAUCAGUCUGCGUCCCAGAGACUGUGCAUGGUACACACUCCUUCAAAAUCGACAGGUACGACCUUCAUCGGGGUUUCGGUGUCGGCAACUGCAUCCAGUCCGCUAACUUCACUGUUGGCGGCCAUGAAUGGUGCAUCCGCUUCUACCCCGACGGCUACAACGAGGAUAACAAAGACUACGUGUCAGUUUUUCUCCAGCUCAAGACCAAGAACAUUGAGGUGAGGGCGAUAUACAAUCUGGUGUUGGUCAAUCAAGCAAUACAGCCGCCGGUGUUGCCUUCCAACUUCGCAAACUUCAGCGACGGACCUCCUGUGGUGUUUGACACUCGCAAUGACAAACUCGAGGCAUGGGGUUUUGUUGCAUUCAAGAAGAAGAGCGAGAUCGAAGGCUCAUCAUACAUUUUGGACAACUCAAUCAUCGUCGCAUGUAACCUUACUAUUAUCACAUUAAAGGAUGCCAAGGAGGUGGAAGCUGGGUUGGUCGGUGACAUCCAAGUGCCGCCAUCCGAAUUGGUUGCUAACCUUAGUAAAUUGUUGGGAUCUACAAAGGGAGCUGACAUGUGUUUCAAGGUCCAAAAUGAGGUAUUCCAUGCUCACGAGAUCAUCCUCGCGAUGCGGUCGCCGGUCUUCUGGGCAGAGUUCUACGGGCCGAAGAGGAUCGAGCAUAGGCACGUCAAAAACUUUGAAGAUAUGCAGCCCGGUGUCUUUAGAGAACUGCUCCACUUCAUCUACACCGACUCGUUGCCUCCGAUGAAGGACCUCAAUGCUGAUGGGUACGAACAAAUGCUCGGGCAUUUACUUGUGGUUGCAGAUAGAUAUGACAUGAAAAGGAUGAAGUCAAUGUGCGAGAGAAAAUUUUGCCAGAGGUUUGAUCAAGAGACUGUGGUGACAACAUUAGUUCUGGCCGUCCAGUACAAUUGCAGCAUCCUCAAAGAUGCUUGCAUUAAAUUUAUCAACUCCUUGAGUACUGUGGAUGGUGUGGUUGCAAGUAAAGGGUAUCAACAACUAAAAAGAGAAUGCCCUACUAUCUUUGCCGAUAUGUGGGAGAAGGCAGCCAAGGCUCGAAAAUUUUAG